RNAcentral lists this ribosomal RNA (479 nucleotides) under uncultured bacterium. Its description in RNAcentral is "partial 16S ribosomal RNA". It matches the Rfam family "Bacterial small subunit ribosomal RNA", at positions 28 to 507 of the family's 1533-position model. The record is from RNAcentral.
GACGAACGCUGGCGGCGUGCUUAACACAUGCAAGUCGAACGAAGCUUGAUUACGGAUUCUUCGGAUGAAGUAUGAUAUGACUGAGUGGCGGACGGGUGAGUAACGCGUGAGUAACCUGCCCUUCAGAGGGGGAUAGGGUUCGGAAACGAACGGUAAUACCGCAUAAUGUAUUUUGACCGCAUGAUCGAAAUACCAAAGAUUUAUCGCUGAAGGAUGGACUCGCGUCUGGUUUGGUAGUGGGUGGGGUAAAGGCCUACCAAGCCGACGAUCAGUAGCCGGAGGGAGAGGUUGAUCGGCCACAUUGGGACUGAGACACGGCCCAGACUCCUACGGGAGGCAGCAGUGGGGAAUAUUGCACAAUGGGCGCAAGCCUGAUGCAGCAACGCCGCGUGAAGGAAGACGGUUUUCGGAUUGUAAACUUCUGUUCUUAGGGAAGAAUAAUGACGGUAGCUAAGGAGCAAGCCACGGCUAACUACGUG